AGGCAGCAGUUGGGGAAAUAUUGCACAAUUGGGCGCAAGCCUGAGCCAGCGACCCAGAGUGAGGGAARACGGCCUUCGGGUUGAUAAACUCUUUUCAAUAGGGACGAAGCGUAAGUGACGGUACCUAUAGAAGAAGCACCGGCCAACUACGUGCCAGCAGCCGCG
RNAcentral lists this ribosomal RNA (165 nucleotides) under uncultured sludge bacterium v3-1. RNAcentral describes it as "partial 16S ribosomal RNA". It matches the Rfam family "Bacterial small subunit ribosomal RNA", at positions 346 to 519 of the family's 1533-position model. The record is from RNAcentral.